RNA transcript from Schistocerca serialis cubense, 1220 nucleotides. RefSeq lists it as uncharacterized. The transcript is spliced from 4 exons. NCBI's taxonomy places the organism in Eukaryota, Metazoa, Arthropoda, Insecta, Orthoptera, Acrididae. The record is from RefSeq and is a predicted model, not a curated record.
GUAAAAAAAAGUUGUUCAGGUUAUAAAGCAAGUAUGAUUAAACAGCCUGUAAUAGUAGACGUUGGCACUACCAAGCAUGAAAGCGGUAGAAGGAAACCAGCGGUUGGUGCUCGUCCAAGAUCGAGGUCAGUCGGGAAAACGAAGUUGGAAAGCAAAUCUGUUAAACAGCCAUUUAAACCUUAUAUUACAGUAGACGAUGAGACACUUGAUGGGGAUUCACUAUCCCGAAAGCACUCUGCCACCAACAGUCAAGUUAAAAAAUUCAUUUCGCUUCCAUCUUCCACUGUAAUGGAUGAUGCUAGUGGUCUUGCCCCUACAAUGGAGAACAGCAUUUAUGAUAGCAAAUAUCGACGUCUUAGGACUACCUCGUUCACUGCGUACAAGAGCAAUACUAUUUUGCAUAAAACUACUUCCUCCAGAUUAUCCACUGCAGUGGAUGCUGGUGUUAAUAGACAUUUCGAACCUAAAGUCUCACAAUACAAGAUUGGCGAUAUUCAGUCGUAUAAACUGCUUGACGACCUCGACAUCACCGAUGAAGAGGCAAUGGAUACUGAAGAUAGUGAGGCUGCAGAUGAUCCUGAUGAGAAUGAUGAUGCUGCUGAGCCGCCAUCGAGUACCGGAGAUGCAGAAGGAGAAGCGACAGGCAACGCAGAAGGAGAAGCGACAGGCAAUCCAGAGGAUGUUACAGACGAACAAAAUGAAAACGAAGAUGGACAACCUGGUCCUCCAUCUGGCGAUAAGUCUGUGGCAAGUGAUUCUGUAGAAGAUGGAGAAACAGCUGGUCAUAUAGUACUAGUACAGUUUCUGCUUCUGGCUUUUGUGUGUAAAGCAGUUUCCUUAUUCUUCCAGCAACACAAAUGCACUUGCUGACUGUGAAUCUACGACAACCUACCAAAUGGAAUAUCGAACAAAUGCUGCAUACCUGUAAAUCUCACAUGUCCUUCAAUAAACAUCUUAUCUAUGGGAAAUACAUUAAUGGAUAGUCUGCAUUCAGUAUACAUGUGAAUAAUGGAUUCCAAGCAGAAGCACUGAGUUUUUGAUGAAGAUGUGGUGAAACCUGUCUGACAUGCAUACGAAGGUGACAGCAUUGACCAGACCAGUGAGAACAGGUGGAUGAAAAUGUAUACAGCCAGAUUGAAUCCAAUUGUGGGCUGGAUGUGGCCCACGGGCUGCCAACUACCCACCCAUGGCGUAUUUGGCACCACUGAAAAUGAAGUGAG